RNAcentral lists this ribosomal RNA (253 nucleotides) under uncultured bacterium. RNAcentral describes it as "partial 16S ribosomal RNA". It matches the Rfam family "Bacterial small subunit ribosomal RNA", at positions 524 to 776 of the family's 1533-position model. The record is from RNAcentral.
UACGGGGGGGGCAAGCGUUGUUCGGAAUUACUGGGCGUAAAGCGCACGUAGGCGGCGCCGUAAGUCAGGGGUGAAAUCCCGGAGCUCAACUCCGGAACUGCCCUUGAAACUGCAGUGCUAGAAUCUUGGAGAGGCGAGUGGAAUUCCGAGUGUAGUGGUGGAAUGCGUAGAGAUCCGGAGGAACACCAGCGGCGAAGGCGGCGUCCUGGACUGGACCUGACGCUCAGGAGCGAAAGCGUGGGGAGCGAUCCGG